CGGUCGCGGCCUGAUGGCCGAGGAAAGUCCGGACUCCACAGGGCGGGGGAUCCGCUGGUCAACGGCGGAAGGCGGCGGGAAAUCCGCCGCGAUGGAAAGUGCCACAGAAAACAGGUAGCCUCCGCAAGGGGGUGAUAGUGAAAAGGCGGGGCAAGAGCCCACCGGCACGGCUGAAACGACGUGCGCAAGGCAAACCCUCCCCGGAGCAAGAUCAAAUAGGGGGCUGACGGGGUGCCCCUCCGACGGCGGCCGAAAGGCCGCCUUAGGCCCCGGGUUGAUUGCUCAGAUGAAUGACCGGACCUCCGGGCCGUCCGAAAGGGCCGGCAAAGGGGGGAACAGAAUCUGGCUUAUUCGCC
RNAcentral lists this RNase P RNA (356 nucleotides) under bovine gut metagenome. RNAcentral's name for it is "Bacterial RNase P class A". It matches the Rfam family "Bacterial RNase P class A". From Rfam's summary of the family: Ribonuclease P (RNase P) is a ubiquitous endoribonuclease, found in archaea, bacteria and eukarya as well as chloroplasts and mitochondria. Its best characterised activity is the generation of mature 5'-ends of tRNAs by cleaving the 5'-leader elements of precursor-tRNAs. The record is from RNAcentral.